GAGGUUGUGGCUCAGUGGUAGAGCGCUCGCCUAGCAUGUGUGAGGCUGGGUUCCAUCCUCAGCACCACA
RNAcentral lists this transfer RNA (69 nucleotides) under Marmota monax (woodchuck). RNAcentral's name for it is "tRNA.Ala". The stretch from base 1 to 61 matches the Rfam family "tRNA". From Rfam's summary of the family: Transfer RNA (tRNA) molecules are approximately 80 nucleotides in length. Their secondary structure includes four short double-helical elements and three loops (D, anti-codon, and T loops). Lineage: Eukaryota; Metazoa; Chordata; Mammalia; Rodentia; Sciuridae. The record is from RNAcentral.